RNAcentral lists this ribosomal RNA (488 nucleotides) under uncultured Chloroflexota bacterium. Its description in RNAcentral is "bacterial SSU rRNA". It matches the Rfam family "Bacterial small subunit ribosomal RNA", at positions 398 to 902 of the family's 1533-position model. Lineage: Bacteria; Bacillati; Chloroflexota. The record is from RNAcentral.
CGCGUGGACGAUGAAGGCCUUCGGGUUGUAAAGUCCUUUCAAGAGGGAAGAGUAAGGACGGUACCUCUUGAAUAAGCCUCGGCUAACUACGUGCCAGCAGCCGCGGUAACACGUAGGAGGCGAGCGUUAUCCGGAUUUAUUGGGCGUAAAGCGCACGCAGGCGGUCGAGUAAGUCGGGUGUGAAAGCCCCGGACUUAAUCCGGGGAGGUCAUUCGAUACUGCUUGACUUGAGAGCGGGAGAGGGAAGUGGAAUUCUCGGUGUAGUGGUGAUAUGCGUAGAUAUCGAGAGGAACACCAGUGGCGAAGGCGGCUUCCUGGCCCGUUUCUGACGCUCAGGUGCGAAAGCGUGGGGAGCGAACGGACUUAGAUACUCCGGUAGUCCACGCCGUAAACGAUGGGUACUAGGUGUGGGGGACGUACAGUUCUCCGUGCCACAGCUAACGCAUUAAGUACCCCGCCUGGGGACUACGGCCGCAAGGUUAAAACUC